Molecule: ribosomal RNA, 1004 nt
Filed under: Acholeplasmataceae bacterium
Lineage: Bacteria; Bacillati; Mycoplasmatota; Mollicutes; Acholeplasmatales; Acholeplasmataceae
Description: bacterial SSU rRNA
Rfam family: Bacterial small subunit ribosomal RNA
Source: RNAcentral
UUUAUGGAGAGUUUGAUCCUGGCUCAGGAUGAACGCUGGCGGCGUGCCUAAUACAUGCAAGUCGAACGCACCAUUUCGGUGGUGAGUGGCGAACGGGUGAGUAACACGUAGGUAACCUGCCCUUAAGACGAGGAUAACCAAGGGAAACUUUGGCUAAAACUGGAUAGGAACAUCGAAGGCAUCUUUGAUGUUUUAAAAGACCUAGCAAUAGGUAUGCUUAAGGAGGGGCCUGCGGCGCAUUAGUUAGUUGGUGAGGUGAAGGCUCACCAAGACGAUGAUGCGUAGCCGGACUGAGAGGUUGAACGGCCACAUUGGGACUGAGAAACGGCCCAAACUCCUACGGGAGGCAGCAGUAGGGAAUUUUCGGCAAUGGGGGAAACCCUGACCGAGCAACGCCGCGUGAAUGACGAAGUACUUCGGUAUGUAAAGUUCUUUUAUCAGGGAAGAAUGGCUAGCGGAAAAGCUAGAUUGACGGUACUUGAUGAAUAAGCCCCGGCUAACUAUGUGCCAGCAGCCGCGGUAAUACAUAGGGGGCAAGCGUUAUCCGGAAUUAUUGGGCGUAAAGGGUGCGUAGGUGGUUGAUUAAGUCUUUGGUAUAAGUGCAGUGCUUAACGCUGUGACGCUAAAGAAACUAGUCGACUUGAGUGUAGUAGAGGCAAGUGGAAUUCCAUGUGUAGCGGUAAAAUGCGUAAAUAUAUGGAGGAACACCGGUGGCGAAGGCGGCUUGCUGGGCUAUAACUGACACUGAGGCACGAAAGCGUGGGGAGCAAACAGGAUUAGNNUGUAGGGGAAACUCUGUGCUGUAGCUAACGCAAUAAGUACUCCGCCUGAGUAGUACGUACGCAAGUAUGAAACUCAAAGGAAUUGACGGGACCCCGCACAAGCGGUGGAUCAUGUUGUUUAAUUCGAUGAUACGCGAAGAACCUUACCAGGUCUUGACAUCCCAUGCAAAGCUAUAGAGAUAUAGUGGAGGUUAUCAUGGAGACAGGUGGUGCAUGGUUGUC